This 253-nucleotide ribosomal RNA is filed under the name uncultured bacterium. RNAcentral's name for it is "partial 16S ribosomal RNA". It matches the Rfam family "Bacterial small subunit ribosomal RNA", at positions 524 to 776 of the family's 1533-position model. The record is from RNAcentral.
UACGUAGGUGGCGAGCGUUGUCCGGAUUUACUGGGCGUAAAGGGCGCGUAGGCGGGUCGACAAGUCCGGGGUGAAAGCCCCCAGCUUAACUGGGGAAGUGCCUUGGAUACUGUCGGUCUAGAGCGAGGUAGGGGCAUGUGGAACUUCGGGUGGAGCGGUGAAAUGCGUUGAUAUCCGAAGGAACGCCGGUGGCGAAAGCGACGUGCUGGACCUUUUCUGACGCUGAGGCGCGAAAGCCAGGGGAGCAAACGGG